UGGGGGAUAUUGCACAAUGGGCGAAAGCCUGAUGCAGCGACGCCGCGUGGGGGAUGAAGGCCUUCGGGUUGUAAACUUCUUUUGCUCUGAACAAGGCGCACCAUGGGGUGUGUUGAGUGUAGGGGUUGAUUAGCGCCGGCUAACUACGUGCCAGCAGCCGCGGUAAUACGUAGGGCGCGAGCGUUGUCCGGAAUUAUUGGGCGUAAAGGGCUUGUAGGUGGCUGGUUGCGUCUGUCGUGAAAGCUCAUGGCUUAACUGUGGGUUUGCGGUGGGUACGGGCUGGCUUGAGUGCAGUAGGGGAGGCUGGAAUUCCUGGUGUAGCGGUGGAAUGCGCAGAUAUCAGGAGGAAUACCGGUGGCGAAGGAGGGGCUCUGGGCUGUUACUGACACUGAGGAGCGAAAGCAUGGGGAGCGAACAGG
RNAcentral lists this ribosomal RNA (419 nucleotides) under bacterium. RNAcentral describes it as "partial 16S ribosomal RNA". It matches the Rfam family "Bacterial small subunit ribosomal RNA", at positions 355 to 776 of the family's 1533-position model. The record is from RNAcentral.